UGCGUAGGCGGGCCGAUAAGUCGGAUGUGAGAUCUCACAGCUUAACUGUGAGUCGCCAUUCGAAACUGUCGGUCUUGAGUGCAGGAGAGGAAAGUGGAAUUCCUGGUGUAGCGGUGAAAUGCGUAGAUAUCAGGAGGAACACCGGUGGCGAAGGCGGCUUUCUGGACUGACACUGACGCUGAGGCACGAAGGCCGGGGGAGCAAACA
RNAcentral lists this ribosomal RNA (207 nucleotides) under uncultured bacterium. RNAcentral's name for it is "partial 16S ribosomal RNA". It matches the Rfam family "Bacterial small subunit ribosomal RNA", at positions 568 to 774 of the family's 1533-position model. The record is from RNAcentral.